CCCUUAGAUGUUCUGGGCUGCACGCGCGCUACACUGAUACUUUCAGCGAGUCCACCACCUUGCCUGAGAGGGUGGGGUAACCUCUGGAAAGUGUAUCGUGAUGGGGAUCGAUUAUUGUAAUUAUUAAUCUUCAACGAGGAAUUCCUAGUAAGCAUGUGUCAUCAGCCCGUGCUGAUUACGUCCCUGCCCUUUGUACACACCGCCCGUCGCUCCUACCGAUUGAUUGAUCCGGUGAAUUACAUAGAAUUUUGCGUUUUACAUGACGGAAGACGAAGUGUUUUAAACCUUAUCAUUUAGAGGAAGGAGAAGUCGUAACA
RNAcentral lists this ribosomal RNA (317 nucleotides) under uncultured eukaryote. Its description in RNAcentral is "partial 18S ribosomal RNA". It matches the Rfam family "Eukaryotic small subunit ribosomal RNA", at positions 1470 to 1796 of the family's 1831-position model. The record is from RNAcentral.